GACGAACGCUGGCGGCGUGCUUAACACAUGCAAGUCGAACGGAAAGGCCCUGCUUGCAGGGUACUCGAGUGGCGAACGGGUGAGUAAUACGUGGGUGAUCUGCCCUGCACUUCGGGAUAAGCUUGGGAAACUGGGUCUAAUACCGGAUAGGAGCCAUCUUUAGUGUGGUGGUUGGAAAGUUUUUUCGGUGUAGGAUGAGCUCGCGGCCUAUCAGCUUGUUGGUGGGGUAAUGGCCUACCAAGGCGGCGACGGGUAGCCGGCCUGAGAGGGUGUACGGCCACAUUGGGACUGAGAUACGGCCCAGACUCCUACGGGAGGCAGCAGUGGGGAAUAUUGCACAAUGGGCACAAGCCUGAUGCAGCGACGCCGCGUGGGGGAUGAAGGCCUUCGGGUUGUAAACUCCUUUCGCUAGGGACGAAGCUUUUUGUGACGGUACCUAGAUAAGAAGCACCGGCUAACUACGUG
Molecule: ribosomal RNA, 465 nt
Filed under: uncultured bacterium
Lineage: Bacteria
Description: partial 16S ribosomal RNA
Rfam family: Bacterial small subunit ribosomal RNA
Source: RNAcentral